This 106-nucleotide small nuclear RNA is filed under the name Ordospora colligata OC4. Its description in RNAcentral is "U5 spliceosomal RNA". It matches the Rfam family "U5 spliceosomal RNA". Rfam says of the family: U5 RNA is a component of both types of known spliceosome. The precise function of this molecule is unknown, though it is known that the 5' loop is required for splice site selection and p220 binding, and that both the 3' stem-loop and the Sm site are important for Sm protein binding and cap methylation. The record is from RNAcentral. Lineage: Eukaryota; Fungi; Microsporidia; Ordosporidae.
CUGGACACUCAGGUCGAUAAGCACGAGUCUUUUGCCUUUUACUAAAGACUCCCAUGAUCUGAGAAACGUCCCACACAAAUCUUUGGACUGCCGAUCACUCGGCUUA